RNAcentral lists this ribosomal RNA (253 nucleotides) under uncultured bacterium. RNAcentral's name for it is "partial 16S ribosomal RNA". It matches the Rfam family "Bacterial small subunit ribosomal RNA", at positions 524 to 776 of the family's 1533-position model. The record is from RNAcentral.
UACGUAGGGUGCAAGCGUUGUCCGGAAUUACUGGGCGUAAAGCGCGUGUAGGCGGCUCUGCAAGUCGGAUGUGAAAGCCCUGGGCUCAACCUAGGAAGUGCACUCGAAACUGCAGAGCUUGAGUCUCGGAGAGGAUCGCGGAAUUCUCGGUGUAGAGGUGAAAUUCGUAGAUAUCGAGAGGAACACCGGUGGCGAAGGCGGCGAUCUGGACGAUGACUGACGCUGAGACGCGAAAGCGUGGGGAGCAAACAGG